GAUGAACGCUGGCGGCGUGCUUAACACAUGCAAGUCGAACGAAGCACUUUUAUCGAUUUCUUCGGAAUGAAGUUUUAGUGACUGAGUGGCGGACGGGUGAGUAACGCGUGGGUAACCUGCCUCACACAGGGGGAUAACAGUUGGAAACGGCUGCUAAUACCGCAUAAGCGCACAGUACCGCAUGGUACGGUGUGAAAAACUCCGGUGGUGUGAGAUGGACCCGCGUCUGAUUAGCUAGUUGGCAGGGCAACGGCCUACCAAGGCGACGAUCAGUAGCCGACCUGAGAGGGUGACCGGCCACAUUGGGACUGAGACACGGCCCAAACUCCUACGGGAGGCAGCAGUGGGGAAUAUUGCACAAUGGGGGAAACCCUGAUGCAGCGACGCCGCGUGAGCGAAGAAGUAUUUCGGUAUGUAAAGCUCUAUCAGCAGGGAAGAAGAAAUGACGGUACCUGACUAAGAAGCACCGGCUAAAUACGUGCCAGCCGCCGCCGUAA
Molecule: ribosomal RNA, 497 nt
Filed under: uncultured bacterium
Lineage: Bacteria
Description: partial 16S ribosomal RNA
Rfam family: Bacterial small subunit ribosomal RNA
Source: RNAcentral